GAUGAACGCUGGCGGCGUGCUUAACACAUGCAAGUCGAGCGGAAAGGCCCUUUCGGGGGUACUCGAGCGGCGAACGGGUGAGUAACACGUGAGUAACCUGCCUUCAGCUUCGGGAUAACCCCGAGAAAUCGGGGCUAAUACCGGGUAUUCACAGUGUCCCGCAUGGGGCUGUUGUGGAAAGGGUUUUACCGGCUGGGGAUGGGCUCGCGGCCUAUCAGCUUGUUGGUGGGGUAGUGGCCGACCAAGGCGACGACGGGUAGCCGGCCUGAGCGGGCGACCGGCCACACUGGGACUGAGAUACGGCCCAGACUCCUACGGGAGGCAGCAGUGGGGAAUAUUGCGCAAUGGGCGGAAGCCUGACGCAGCGACGCCGCGUGGGGGAUGACGGCCUUCGGGUUGUAAACCUCUUUCAGCAGGGACGAAGGGUGACUGACGGUACCUGCAGAAGAAGCUCCGGCUAACUACGUGCCAGCCGCCGCGGUAA
RNAcentral lists this ribosomal RNA (484 nucleotides) under uncultured bacterium. RNAcentral describes it as "partial 16S ribosomal RNA". It matches the Rfam family "Bacterial small subunit ribosomal RNA", at positions 28 to 523 of the family's 1533-position model. The record is from RNAcentral.